AUGAUUGUAAUAGUUGUACUUUUAAUAGGAUUCCCCGCAAUCAAAAACAUUAUUCCCCAAGGAACAAAUUGUUCUAUAAAAUUACAUUACUUAGGAAAGAGACAGUCCGCCCUGCCUUUGCUGAGGCGACAGAGGACUCCAGGAUGGCCUUUAUUUCAGGGACUCUCAAGUCAAAUGGGUGUUCUGGAAGGACAGAGGGCUACCCGGCUCCACAAUCCCGAAGAAGAAACUCAGUGGAACAGGGUCAAAAGUAGAAAGACCAAGUGGCGAAAGGCGGUAUAAAGUAUGUCUGAGCCUGGACUAAAUUUAUUACCUUCUAAUUCUCUACUUUGAAAAACAAGGUUUGGGAAAUUCCUAGGGAUUUAAGCUAAGCAUGCCGCAUCGCUCCCUUCUGUGCCAAUUCAGACCAAAAUCUCGCUCAAGCACAGCAAAUCUUCCUUAACAAACAGUGGAACUGUAAACAAUCCAACACUAAUUUGUUAUCAUUAUCCCUCUUUAAGAGAAACAGAACUCACUAUAAUUCUAUCAUUAAGAUGAAUAUACCGUUUUAAGGCCUUUACGUAAAUUAUAAUUAAAGCUCAUCUCAAUGAAAGUUAUUACACCAUUUUGAAAGAAAAUAAACAACCCAAAGAGAGGGAAACAAUGUGGUCCAUAACUCGCUCNNNNNNNNNNNNNNNNNNNNNNNNNNNNNNNNNNNNNNNNNNNNNNNNNNNNNNNNNNNNNNNNNNNNNNNNNNNNNNNNNNNNNNNNNNNNNNNNNNNUCGCUCCAAAAAUAUUUUUUGCCUCCAAAGCUCGCAUUGAGGGAGACAUUCUUGUGCAUGAUACAAAUGGUUCUGACAUUAAGAAAAGUAAACAAGUAAGAAAAAUAAAGAUGGAAAAAUUCUGUGGUCAGUUCACAAGUGCUUUUUUAUUGUUUGAGGCAGGGUUAAAGCCUUUUAUAAAGACAAGGAUAUAUGUGCCACAAGAUUGGACGUGACAUUGGCCUAGUCCAGCUGCCCUUGCACAGGACUCCGGCUGCCCGUAAUAUGCCACGGACGAACUGUGCGCUGGUGCUUUCAAACAAAGAACCAGGGUGGGGCUGAAUACAGCCCAUUUAAAGCAUCAUCUCAAUGCUGUUUUGUAGGUCAAAAAGAGUAAGGAUACCUGACUCUGGUUAUUAAUGGAUUUGAGAGAUAAAGCCAAACAUUUAAUAUUCUCUAAUAUUAAUGGUCUUAAGGGUUUUGAUCUAAAUUUGUCUCAAUAACUGAUUACUGAAUGCUGUGUGUAAUCUACAAGAGGGACUCCUGCCAACACCACUGCAAGUCAUUCAGGGACUGUGUUAACUCAGUAGGCCAGAGGCCAUGGAAGUGGACUUGAACAGAGAAAGCGGGCUCUUCUUGGGUGUCUCGGGGGUUCUGAGACUUAGAGACCUUUACCAUAGCAGCUCUCUAGUCUUUUGGUAUCCAUAAAUAGGCACGAGUCUCAUUUAUGUUUUGUUGUCCUUAAACUAACUGAAUACUGGGAGACCCUGGACAAUGAACACUUGGUCUAAAUAAAAAUAAACAUAAAUGCUACUGUGUCAAGAGCAAAGAGCCUUUCAAACAUCCUCUACUGGUGCACCAGUAUAUUACAUGGAAUUACAGCCAUCCAACCAGCAUGAUCAUGCUCAUUUUCCUUGUAACAUUAGGGCUGGAAUAUAAACAAAGGUAUACAAAGACCAUCUCACAAGCUGUGGAUUUCAUUUCUGAGAGAUUCUGAGAAAUUAAAUUCAAAGGAUUUGUGCCUUUUAUUAAAAACUGUUUGGUCUCAUGAGUGUUUUCAACAGCCUCCACUUUCCUCUUUAACUUCCUGACCUGCUCUAUCUUUUAUCAUCUCACUACCUUUAUAUAGCACCCAAAGGAGCAAGCAAGCUCCAAACACACAUAUGGGCAUAGACAUAGCUGGGAGGGUAUGUGGUUAAAAAAUAAAUAAAUAACAGUCCUUGGAUAGAAUCUGGUGUUGGGAAAGAUGCCUGACACUGCCUGGUAUUCAGGGCAAGAG
Molecule: long non-coding RNA, 2019 nt
Filed under: Capra hircus (goat)
Lineage: Eukaryota; Metazoa; Chordata; Mammalia; Artiodactyla; Bovidae
Description: lncRNA (ENSCHIG00010026237.1)
Source: RNAcentral